AGUAUACCAGGGUUGCUGACCCCCUAAGUCCCCUUUUCUUGGCUUGUUGACAUGCAUAAUUGCAUUUAUGUUGGUUCUUGUGCCCUAGACAAGGAUGCCCCACCUCUUUUCAAUAGUGGGUGCCCACUCCUUAUGAUCUUUACAUUUGAACAGUUAAUGUGAAUAAUUGCAGUUGUCCACAACCCUAUCACUUCUAGGACCAUUAUACCUCUUUUGCAUUACUGUGGGGUAUACUGUUUCCCUCCAAGGCCCCUUCUGGUGGACUAUCAACAUAUAAUUGAAAUUUUCUUUUGUCUUUGUCAGUAGAUUAAGGUCAUACCCCAUCACCUUUCCUUUGUAGUACAACAGGGUGUCCUGAUCAACCAAAGUCCUGUUGUUUUGGACUGUUAAUAUGUGCAAUUACAUUUGCUCCUGAUCUGUGCACUAGAUAAGGAUCCUACCUACUUUCUUAGUGUUUUUAGCAGGUAGUGCCCACUACUCAAGACUGUCACUUGGAAUGUUCAUGUGCACAAACUCAAUUCUCUAAGCAUGUUCCUGUACCACCUUUGCUUUAGAGCAGGGGGAUGAUAUUCACUAAGUGCCCCUUCUUUUGGACUUAAUAUGCAUUAAUGCAAUUGUCCACCUCUUCUUUUAGACUAAGAGUUGAUCUCCACAUAUUCCCCUUGCAUCAGGGGCAUGUUAAUUAUGAAUGAACCCUUUUCUUUUAAUAUUAAUGUCAUAAUUGUAUUUGUGGACCUGUGUAGGAGAAAAAGACCCUAUGUUCCUCCCAUUACCCUUUGGAUUGCUGCUGAGAAGUGUUAACUACUCAUAAUCUCAGCUCUUGGACAAUUAAUAGCAUUAAUAACAAUUAUCAAGGGCACUGAUCAUUAGAUAAGACUCCUGCUUCCUCGUUGCUUACAUCGGGGGUACUGACCCACUAAGGCCCCUUGUACUGUUAAUGUGAAUAUUUGCAAUUAUAUAUGUCUCCUUCUGGUAGAGUGGGAUAUUAUGCCCUAGUAUCCCCUUUGCAUUACUGCAGGGGCUGCUGACUACUCAAAACUUCUCCUGGGACUGUUAAUAGGCACAAUGGCAGUUAUCAAUGGUUUUCUCCCUCCCUGACCUUGUUAAGCAAGCGCCCCACCCCACCCUUAGUUUCCCAUGGCAUAAUAAAGUAUAAGCAUUGGAGUAUUCCAUGCACUUGUCUAUCAAACAGUGGUCCAUACUCCCAACCCUUUUGCAUUGCGCCAGUGUGUAAAAUCACAGGUAGCCAUGGUGUCAUGCUUUAUAUACGAAGUCUUCCCUCUCUCUGCCCCUUGUGUGCCCUUGGCCCCUUUUUACAGACUAUUGCUCACAAUCUCAGGUGUCCAUAUUUGCAGCUAUUAGGUAAGAUUGUGCUGUCUCCCUCUUCCCUUCCCUCUGCCCUGCCCCUUUUGCCUCUUUGCUGGGUAAUGUUGACCAGACAAGGCCCUUUCUCUUGGACUUAAACAAUUCUCAGUUGCACUUUCCUUGGUCCCACCCAUUAUACAUGAACCCCUCUACUUCCUUUCGCAUUGCUUCUGAGUAUGCUGACUACCCAAAGCCCCUUCUGUGUUAUUAAUAAACACAGUACUGAUUGUCCCAUUUUUCAGCCCAUCAGUCCAAGAUCUCCCUACCACUUUGGUGUGUUGGUGCAGUGUUGACUAUGAAAAGCAGGCCUGAACUAGGUGGAUAAGCCUUCACUCAUUUUCUUUCAUUUAUUAAUGAUCCUAGUUUCAAUUAUUGUCAGAUUCUGGGGACAAGAACCAUUCUUGCCCACCUGUGUUACUGCUUUACUGUGCAAAAUACUGAAGGCAAGUCAGACCCAGGGAGCUGGAUUGCCAUCCUUUAUUUUGUGUUUCCAGUGUACACUAUAAAAUUGUCUCCCCAGGAAGGAAGGUUGGCACUUUCUCUGCAUUCUUCUUUCCAGAGCAGAUUGCCUGGUUAAGAAUCUCUUGUUGUCCCCUUUGUAUAUUGUUAUUGUAAAGUGCCAAAUGCCAGGAUACAGCCAGAAAAAUUGCUUAUUAUUAUUAAAAAAAUUUUUUUAAGAAAGACAUCUGGAUUGUAGGGUGGACUCGAUAACCUGGUCAUUAUUUUUUUGAAGCCAAAAUAUCCAUUUAUACUAUGUACCUGGUGACCAGUGUCUCUCAUUUUAACUGAGGGUGGUGGGUCUGUGGAUAGAACACUGACUCUUGCUAUUUUAAUAUCAAAGAUAUUCUAGAGUGGAACUCUUAAGACCAGUAUCUUUGUGUGGGCUUUACCAGCAUUCACUUUUAGAAAAACUACCUAAAUUUUAUAAUCCUUUAAUUUCUUCAUCUGGAGCACCUGCCCCUACUUAUUUCAAGAAGAUUGCAGUAAAACGAUUAAAUGAGGGAACAUAUGCAGAGGUGCUUUUAAAAAGCAUAUGCCACCUUUUUUAUUAAUUAUUAUAUAAAAUGAAGCAUUUAAUUAUAGUAAUAAUUUGAAGUAGUUUGAAGUACCACACUGAGGUGAGGACUUAAAAAUGAUAAGACGAGUUCCCUAUUUUAUAAGAAAAAUAAGCCAAAAUUAAAUAUUCUUUUGGAUAUAAAUUUCAACAGUGAGAUAGCUGCCUAGUGGAAAUGAAUAAUAUCCCAGCCACUAGUGUACAGGGUGUUUUGUGGCACAGGAUUAUGUAAUAUGGAACUGCUCAAGCAAAUAACUAGUCAUCACAACAGCAGUUCUUUGUAAUAACUGAAAAAGAAUAUUGUUUCUCGGAGAAGGAUGUCAAAAGAUCGGCCCAGCUCAGGGAGCAGUUUGCCCUACUAGCUCCUCGGACAGCUGUAAAGAAGAGUCUCUGGCUCUUUAGAAUACUGAUCCCAUUGAAGAUACCACGCUGCAUGUGUCCUUAGUAGUCAUGUCUCCUUAGGCUCCUCUUGAUCUUCCUCAGAAGAAUAGGCUUGUUGUUUUACAGUGUUAGUGAUCCAUUCCCUUUGACGAUCCCUAGGUGGAGAUGGGGCAUGAGGAUCCUCCAGGGGAAAAGCUCACUACCACUGGGCAACAACCCUAGGUCAGGAGGUUCUGUCAAGAUACUUUCCUGGUCCCAGAUAGGAAGAUAAAGUCUCAAAAACAACCACCACACGUCAAGCUCUUCAUUGUUCCUAUCUGCCAAAUCAUUAUACUUCCUACAAGCAGUGCAGAGAGCUGAGUCUUCAGCAGGUCCAAGAAAUUUGAACACACUGAAGGAAGUCAGCCUUCCCACCUGAAGAUCAACAUGCCUGGCACUCUAGCACUUGAGGAUAGCUGAAUGAAUGUGUAUUUCUUUGUCUCUUUCUUUCUUGUCUUUGCUCUUUGUUCUCUAUCUAAAGUGUGUCUUACCCAUUUCCAUGUUUCUCUUGCUAAUUUCUUUCGUGUGUGCCUUUGCCUCAUUUUCUCUUUUUGUUCACAAGAGUGGUCUGUGUCUUGUCUUAGACAUAUCUCUCAUUUUUCAUUUUGUUGCUAUUUCUCUUUGCUCUCCUAGAUGUGGCUCUUCUUUCACGCUUUAUUUCAUGUCUCCUUUUUGGGUCACAUGCUGUGUGCUUUUUGUCCUUUUCUUGUUCUGUCUACCUCUCCUUUCUCUGCCUACCUCUCUUUUCUCUUUGUGAACUGUGAUUAUUUGUUACCCCUUCCCCUUCUCGUUCGUUUUAAAUUUCACCUUUUUUCUGAGUCUGGCCUCCUUUCUGCUGUUUCUACUUUUUAUCUCACAUUUCUCAUUUCUGCAUUUCCUUUCUGCCUCUCUUGGGCUAUUCUCUCUCUCCUCCCCUGCGUGCCUCAGCAUCUCUUGCUGUUUGUGAUUUUCUAUUUCAGUAUUAAUCUCUGUUGGCUUGUAUUUGUUCUCUGCUUCUUCCCUUUCUACUCACCUUUGAGUAUUUCAGCCUCUUCAUGAAUCUAUCUCCCUCUCUUUGAUUUCAUGUAAUCUCUCCUUAAAUAUUUCUUUGCAUAUGUGGGCAAGUGUACGUGUGUGUGUGUCAUGUGUGGCAGAGGGGCUUCCUAACCCCUGCCUGAUAGGUGCAGAACGUCGGCUAUCAGAGCAAGCAUUGUGGAGCGGUUCCUUAUGCCAGGCUGCCAUGUGAGAUGAUCCAAGACCAAAACAAGGCCCUAGACUGCAGUAAAACCCAGAACUCAAGUAGGGCAGAAGGUGGAAGGCUCAUAUGGAUAGAAGGCCCAAAGUAUAAGACAGAUGGUUUGAGACUUGAGACCCGAGGACUAAGAUGGAAAGCCCAUGUUCCAAGAUAGAUAGAAGCCUCAGGCCUGAAACCAACAAAAGCCUCAAGAGCCAAGAAAACAGAGGGUGGCCUGAAUUGGACCGAAGGCCUGAGUUGGAUGGAAGUCUCAAGGCUUGAGUUAGAAGUCUUAAGACCUGGGACAGGACACAUGGAAGGCCUAAGAACUGAGACUUGUGACACAAGGCCAACGACCUAAGAUUAGCCCAGGGUUGUAGCUGGAAGACCUACAACCCAAGGAUGGAAGGCCCCUGUCACAAAGCCUACCUAGAUGGAUAGAGGACCCAAGCGAAAAAGGUAUCUCAAGACUAACGGCCGGAAUCUGGAGGCCCAUGACCCAGAACCCAGGAAGGAUAGAAGCUUGAAGACCUGGGGAAAUCCCAAGAUGAGAACCCUAAACCCUACCUCUUUUCUAUUGUUUACACUUCUUACUCUUAGAUAUUUCCAGUUCUCCUGUUUAUCUUUAAGCCUGAUUCUUUUGAGAUGUACUUUUUGAUGUUGCCGGUUACCUUUAGAUUGACAGUAUUAUGCCUGGGCCAGUCUUGAGCCAGCUUUAAAUCACAGCUUUUACCUAUUUGUUAGGCUAUAGUGUUUUGUAAACUUCUGUUUCUAUUCACAUCUUCUCCACUUGAGAGAGACACCAAAAUCCAGUCAGUAUCUAAUCUGGCUUUUGUUAACUUCCCUCAGGAGCAGACAUUCAUAUAGGUGAUACUGUAUUUCAGUCCUUUCUUUUGACCCCAGAAGCCCUAGACUGAGAAGAUAAAAUGGUCAGGUUGUUGGGGAAAAAAAAGUGCCAGGCUCUCUAGAGAAAAAUGUGAAGAGAUGCUCCAGGCCAAUGAGAAGAAUUAGACAAGAAAUACACAGAUGUGCCAGACUUCUGAGAAGCACCUGCCAGCAACAGCUUCCUUCUUUGAGCUUAGUUUCUGGCAUCACUACCACUACUGAUUAAACAAGAAUAAGAGAACAUUUUAUCAUCAUCUGCUUUAUUCACAUAAAUGAAGUUGUGAUGAAUAAAUCUGCUUUUAUGCAGACACAAGGAAUUAAGUGGCUUCGUCAUUGUCCUUCUACCUCAAAGAUAAUUUAUUCCAAAAGCUAAGAUAAAUGGAAGACUCUUGAACUUGUGAACUGAUGUGAAAUGCAGAAUCUCUUUUGAGUCUUUGCUGUUUGGAAGAUUGAAAAAUAUUGUUCAGCAUGGGUGACCACCAGAAAGUAAUCUUAAGCCAUCUAGAUGUCACAAUUGAAACAAA
Molecule: long non-coding RNA, 5461 nt
Organism: Homo sapiens (human)
Lineage: Eukaryota; Metazoa; Chordata; Mammalia; Primates; Hominidae
Gene: XIST
Product: X inactive specific transcript
Source: Ensembl